This 223-nucleotide long non-coding RNA is filed under the name Lathyrus oleraceus (garden pea). RNAcentral's name for it is "Pisum sativum (pea) long non-coding RNA (PSAT_LNC028688)". Lineage: Eukaryota; Viridiplantae; Streptophyta; Magnoliopsida; Fabales; Fabaceae. The record is from RNAcentral.
AAAAAUAGAAAAAUAAAGAAUUUCAUAUUUUUAGGGGGCGUCCAUUAUUUAAUCUCGAAAUAGAGGCUUUUGAUCCUUGAUAUUUUUCUAAUGAAUUGACAAAGAAUCGGAAUAAUCUGGGACUAUUUUCUUAAAACAACUCUUUUAUGCUAAAACGCGGAAAGGGCAGAACACAAGAACGGUGAAAUGCAACACCAAUGACUCUAAUAUUGGUUAAAUUUGA